RNAcentral lists this long non-coding RNA (441 nucleotides) under Pan troglodytes (chimpanzee). RNAcentral's name for it is "long non-coding RNA NONPTRT008965". Lineage: Eukaryota; Metazoa; Chordata; Mammalia; Primates; Hominidae. The record is from RNAcentral.
CCAGCCAUUUGGGAGGCUGAGGUGGGAGGAUCACUUGAACCUGAGCACUUGGGGAGGCUGAGGUGGGUGAAUCACCUGAGGUCAGGAAUUUGAGACCAGCCUGGCUAACAUGGUGAAACCCUGUCUCUAUUAAAAACCUAGGCAGAGGACCCUGCGGCCUUCCACGGUGUUUGUGUCCCUGGGUACUUGAGAUUAGGGAGUGGUGAUGACUCUUAAGGAGCAUGCUGCCUUCAAGCAUCUGUUUAACAAAGCACAUCUUGCACCGCCCUUAAUCCAUUUAACCCUGAAUGGACACAGGACAUGUUUCAGAGAGCACAGGGUUGGGGGUAAGGUCACAGAUAACAGGAUCCCAAGGCAGAAGAAUUUCUCUUAGUACAGAACAAAAUGAAGUCUCCCAUGUCUACUUCUUUCUACACAGACACGGCAACCAUCCGAUUUCUC